GAUGAACGCUGGCGGCGUGCCUAAUACAUGCAAGUCGAGCGAACGGACGAGAAGCUUGCUUUUCUGAUGUUAGCGGCGGACGGGUGAGUAACACGUGGAUAACCUACCUAUAAGACUGGGAUAACUUCGGGAAACCGGAGCUAAUACCGGAUAAUAUUUUGAACCGCAUGGUUCAUAAGUGAAAGACGGUCUUGCUGUCACUUAUAGAUUGAUCCGCGCUGCAUUAGCUAGUUGGUAAGGUAACGGCUUACCAAGUCAACGAUGCAUAGCCGACCUGAGAGGGUGAGCGGCAACACGGGAACUGAGACACGGACCAGACUACUACGGGAGGCAGCAGUAGGGAAUAUUCCGCAAUGGGCGAAAGCAUGACGGAGCAACGCCGCGUGAGAGAUGAAGGUCUUCGGAUCGUAAAACUCUGUUAUUAGGGAAGAACAUAUGUGUAAGUAACUGUGCACAUCUUGACGGUACCUAAUCAGAAAGCAACGGCUAACUACGUG
RNAcentral lists this ribosomal RNA (497 nucleotides) under uncultured bacterium. RNAcentral's name for it is "partial 16S ribosomal RNA". It matches the Rfam family "Bacterial small subunit ribosomal RNA", at positions 28 to 507 of the family's 1533-position model. The record is from RNAcentral.